GUGGGGAAUCUUGCGCAAUGGGCGAAAGCCUGACGCAGUCAUGCCGCGUGAAUGAUGAAGGUCUUAGGAUUGUAAAAUUCUUUCACCGGGGACGAUAAUGACGGUACCCGGAGAAGAAGCCCCGGCUAACUUCGUGCCAGCAGCCGCGGUAAUACGAAGGGGGCUAGCGUUGCUCGGAAUUACUGGGCGUAAAGGGCGCGUAGGCGGAUCGUUAAGUCAGGGGUGAAAUCCCAGAGCUCAGCUCUGGAACUGCCCUUGAUACUGGCGAUCUUGAGUGUGAGAGAGGUAUGUGGAACUCCGAGUGUAGAGGUGAAAUUCGUAGAUAUUCGGAAGAACACCAGUGGCGAAGGCGACAUACUGGCUCAUUACUGACGCUGAGGCGCGAAAGCGUGGGGAGCAAACAGGAUUAGAUACCCGAGUAGUCC
RNAcentral lists this ribosomal RNA (425 nucleotides) under uncultured bacterium. RNAcentral describes it as "partial 16S ribosomal RNA". It matches the Rfam family "Bacterial small subunit ribosomal RNA", at positions 354 to 796 of the family's 1533-position model. The record is from RNAcentral.